This 29-nucleotide non-coding RNA is filed under the name Mus musculus (house mouse). Lineage: Eukaryota; Metazoa; Chordata; Mammalia; Rodentia; Muridae. The record is from RNAcentral.
UAUUUGAGAAGGAUAUUUGAAAUAAUGAA